Molecule: ribosomal RNA, 549 nt
Filed under: uncultured Glomeromycotina
Lineage: Eukaryota; Fungi; Glomeromycota
Description: SSU rRNA
Rfam family: Eukaryotic small subunit ribosomal RNA
Source: RNAcentral
UUGGAGGGCAAGUCUGGUGCCAGCAGCCGCGGUAAUUCCAGCUCCAAUAGCGUAUAUUAAAGUUGUUGCAGUUAAAAAGCUCGUAGUUGAAUUUCGGGAUCAAUUUGCUGGUCGUGCCUUCGGUACGCACUGGUAUUAUUGGUUUCUCCUUUCUGAUGAAUCGCGAUGUCAUUAAUUUGGUGUCGUGGGGAAUCAGGACUGUUACUUUGAAAAAAUUAGAGUGUUUAAAGCAGGCUCACGCUUGAAUACAUUAGCAUGGAAUAAUGAAAUAGGACGUUUGAUUCUAUUUUGUUGGUUUCUAGGAUCGACGUAAUGAUUAAUAGGGAUAGUUGGGGGCAUUAGUAUUCAAUUGUCAGAGGUGAAAUUCUUGGAUUUAUUGAAGACUAACUACUGCGAAAGCAUUUGCCAAGGAUGUUUUCAUUAAUCAAGAACGAAAGUUAGGGGAUCGAAGACGAUCAGAUACCGUCGUAGUCUUAACCAUAAACUAUGCCGACUAGGGAUCGGAUGAUGUUAAUUUUUUAAUGACUCAUUCGGCGCCUUACGGGAAAC